RNAcentral lists this ribosomal RNA (1531 nucleotides) under uncultured bacterium. RNAcentral describes it as "bacterial SSU rRNA". It matches the Rfam family "Bacterial small subunit ribosomal RNA". The record is from RNAcentral.
UCCUCCAGAGUUUGAUCAUGGCUCAGAUUGAACGCUGGCGGCAGGCCUAACACAUGCAAGUCGAGCGGCAGCACGGGAAGCUUGCUUCCUGGUGGCGAGCGGCGGACGGGUGAGUAAUGCAUAGGAAUCUGCCCGAUAGUGGGGGAUAACCUGGGGAAACCCAGGCUAAUACCGCAUACGUCCUACGGGAGAAAGCAGGGGCUCUUCGGACCUUGCGCUAUNGGANGAGCCUAUGUCGGAUUAGCUGGUUGGUGAGGUAAUGGCUCACCAAGGCGACGAUCCGUAGCUGGUCUGAAGAGGAUGAUCAGCCACAUCGGGACUGAGACACGGCCCGAACUCCUACGGGAGGCAGCAGUGGGGAAUAUUUGGACAAUGGGCGCAAGCCUGAUCCAGCCAUGCCGCGUGUGUGAAGAAGGCCCUCGGGUUGUAAAGGCACUUUCAGUGGGGAAGAAAGCCUUGGGGCUAAUACCCUCGAGGAAGGACAUCACCCACAGAAGAAAGCACCGGCUAACUCCGUGCCAGCAGCCGCGGUAAUACGGAGGGUGCGAGCGUUAAUCGGAAUUACUGGGGCGUAAAGCGCGCGUAGGUGGCUUGAUAAGCCGGUUGUGAAAGCCCCGGGCUCACCUGGGAACGGCAUCCGGAACUGUCAUCGCUAGGAAGUGCAGGAGAGGAAGGUAGAAUUCCCGGUGUAGCGGUGAAAUGCGUAGAGAUCGGGAGGAAUACCAGUGGCGAAGGGCGGCCUUCUGGACUGACACUGACACUGAGGUGCGAAAGCGUGGGUAGCAAACAGGAUUAGAUACCCUGGGUAGUCCACGCCGUAAACGAUGUCAACUAGCCGUUGGGAGCCUCGAGUUCUUAGUGGCGCAGUUAACGCGAUAAGUCAACCGCCUGGGGAGUACGGCCGCAAGGUUAAAACUCAAAUGAAUUGACGGGGGCCCGCACAAGCGGUGGAGCAUGUGGUUUAAUUCGAUGCAACGCGAAGAACCUUACCUACCCUUGACAUCGUGCGAACUUGGUACAGAUACCUUGGUGCCUUCGGGAACGCACAGACAGGUGCUGCAUGGCUGUCGUCAGCUCGUUGUUGUGAAAUGUUGGGUUAAGUCCCGUAACGAGCGCAACCCUUGUCCCUAUUUGCCAGCGAUUCGGUCGGGAACUCCUAGGGAGACUGCCGGUGACAAACCGGAGGAAGGUGGGGACGACGUCAAGUCAUCAUGGCCCUUACGGGUAGGGCUACACACGUGCUACAAUGGUCGGUACAAAGGGUUGCAAAGCGGCGACGUGGAGCUAAUCCCAAUAAAGCUGAUCUCAGUCCGGAUCGGAGUCUGCAACUCGACUCCGUGAAGUCGGAAUCGCUAGUAUUCGUGAAUCAGAAUGUCACGGUGAAUACAUUCCCGGGCCUUGUACACACCGCCCGUCACACCAUGGGAGUGGACUGCACCAGAAGUGGUUAGCCUAACUUCGGAGGGCGAUCACCACUGUGUGUUUCAUGAUUGGGGUGAAAGUCGUAACAAGGUACCGUAGGGGAACCUGC